CAGCUACAUAACAAGGGCUGAAGAAGAAGAAGAAGAAGAAGAAGAAGAAGAAGAAGAAGACAAAAUCCAUAGGGGGAGUAGGGACCCAAGGCGUCGAUGGUCCUACUGCCCACAGCCCUUCCUCACUCACCUGCUGGCCACCACAACUCCCUUUUUAGGUUGUUGUUUGGGCUUCGUGAUGUACCAUCCUGGGAGACCACGUCCAUCAACCCUUUUCAAGAUCCAAGAGGAAUCUCCUAUUGAAGAGGCCGGGAAUAUUUAUUAGUUGUUUUUGUUAAUUUUUAGAAACUUUAUUUUAUUAUGAACUGAACUGAAUUGAAAUUAAAAGCCAUAU
Long non-coding RNA from Eriocheir sinensis (Chinese mitten crab), 334 nucleotides. RefSeq lists it as uncharacterized. The transcript is spliced from 3 exons. The record is from RefSeq and is a predicted model, not a curated record. NCBI's taxonomy places the organism in Eukaryota, Metazoa, Arthropoda, Malacostraca, Decapoda, Varunidae.